AAAGUACGACCCAGUACAAUACCACUCAGUGGUGUCUGAGGAGGGUAGUGUGUACGCAGCCUUACCCCUACCCUGGGGUAGAGAGGCUGUUUCCAAAUACAUAUCAAUUUCAGCAAAUUACAGUGACCUUUUCAAACACUGUACCAUUUUUACAAUUGUUUGUCUAUAGUAAGACUGAGGGAACGAACGUACAUACCUCAAAAAAACGAAGAAGAACUCAACAGAACAGCAGCACAACAACGAAAAUCAGCAUACAAAAGCCAUUAACUCUACUUCCACAGCUUGACAGACCAGAGAAAGAAGAGGUUGAGAAUUGAAACCAAUUUUUUCAAGUUCCCUUUGGAAAAUU
Molecule: long non-coding RNA, 349 nt
Filed under: Nicotiana benthamiana
Lineage: Eukaryota; Viridiplantae; Streptophyta; Magnoliopsida; Solanales; Solanaceae
Description: long non-coding RNA (NBEN_LNC039284)
Source: RNAcentral